Molecule: ribosomal RNA, 253 nt
Filed under: uncultured bacterium
Lineage: Bacteria
Description: partial 16S ribosomal RNA
Rfam family: Bacterial small subunit ribosomal RNA
Source: RNAcentral
UACGUAGGGCGCAAGCGUUAUCCGGAAUUAUUGGGCGUAAAGAGCUCGUAGGCGGUUUGUCGCGUCUGCCGUGAAAGACCGGGGCUCAACUCCGGUUCUGCAGUGGGUACGGGCAGACUAGAGUGUGGUAGGGGAGACUGGAAUUCCUGGUGUAGCGGUGAAAUGCGCAGAUAUCAGGAGGAACACCGAUGGCGAAGGCAGGUCUCUGGGCCACUACUGACGCUGAGAAGCGAAAGCAUGGGGAGCGAACAGG